GAUGAACGCUGGCGGCGUGCCUAAUACAUGCAAGUCGAGCGAACAGACGAGGAGCUUGCUCCUCUGACGUUAGCGGCGGACGGGUGAGUAACACGUGGAUAACCUACCUAUAAGACUGGGAUAACUUCGGGAAACCGGAGCUAAUACCGGAUAAUAUAUUGAACCGCAUGGUUCAAUAGUGAAAGACGGUUUUGCUGUCACUUAUAGAUGGAUCCGCGCCGCAUUAGCUAGUUGGUAAGGUAACGGCUUACCAAGGCAACGAUGCGUAGCCGACCUGAGAGGGUGAUCGGCCACACUGGAACUGAGACACGGUCCAGACUCCUACGGGAGGCAGCAGUAGGGAAUCUGCCGCAAUGGGCGAAAGCCUGACGGAGCAACGCCGCGUGAGUGAUGAAGGUCUUCGGAUCGUAAAACGCUGUUAUUAGGGAAGAACAAAUGUGUAAGUAACUAUGCACGUCUUGACGGUACCUAAUCAGAAAGCCACGGCGAACUACGU
This 496-nucleotide ribosomal RNA is filed under the name uncultured bacterium. RNAcentral describes it as "partial 16S ribosomal RNA". It matches the Rfam family "Bacterial small subunit ribosomal RNA", at positions 28 to 506 of the family's 1533-position model. The record is from RNAcentral.